GAGAUUCACUUGAACGAACGAGCGGGACUUUCAUUUUCAAACCUGAGACGUAUGAGGAGACGAUGUUUUUCUUUGUUUACUUUAAUUGUCAUGUUGUUAAAGUUCUGUAGCUUUCGAGAAUACUCAUUUUGUGAUAAACUACGAUAAGAAACGAUGGAUUCAACAGAAGACGACAUAUCUGACUGCUCGGAUUCUGUUGAGGAGAGUUCUGCAUUCAGAGUUACCAAGAUCUCCUGUAACCAGAAGUGCAACAAAUGUAUGGCAGAGCAUGAGGCUGAAAAACACCCCUGGACUGGAGAGUCCUGGAUCUGCCUUGCGUCACACACUCAAGAAGAAGCUCCAUGAGAGUGCCUCCCUGUCACCCCUCCCUUCACCUAAACGGCCAAGGUCAACAGUGCCAAAUACAAACCCUCCUGUGACGGUCCCGUCCCCGGUGCAUGAUGAGGACAUGACCACUCGUGGUCUGCUCAGGGGGAUCAUUCAGACGGUGGCCUGAACCUGACCUUGAAGACCCCAUUUGUAGAGAAGCACAUUGAGAGGGCGGGGCUUCAGAGGAAGGUGUCCAAUCGGAGGCUACCAUCUGUGGAUGCAUUUGAUGAGGCCGUUCAGAGAUGCUUGGAGCAGGGUCCCAACCAAGAUCAAUCUGUAUUUCAGGAUGGAAAAACUCUAGAAGAUUCUUCAUUCUUCAGAAGUUCACACUCGGCCUCAAUGAUGUCACAGAGCUUUAUGCCCAGCUUAAUAAAAAAGACGACAAAGUGGGACCGUCUGCAGAGAUGGAGAGGGAUGCAGAGAACGAGCGAGAACAUGAGCUUGAGCGAGCCAGUGAGAUUCCAGACUCAGAACCUUUAAUUCAAGAAGGAAAAGAUCAUGAGAUGGAAUCACAGGAUGAUGAGGAAGAGGAAGAGGAAGAGGUGGUGCUUUCAUCCCAAGAAAAUGUGUUUUUGAGUCCAGAAGAUGAUAUUGUACUUCCUCCAACGCAGACAAUGACAGAAUUACUUCCUGAAUCGCGUGAUGUGCAGCUAGAAGAUCGAGAAUUUGUGGAGGAAGUUGAGAUUGGGAAUGUUGUGGAAAUUGAGGAUGUGGAAAUUGAAGAUGACAGCGUUGAGGAUGAGAUGGUUGUGGAUGAGAAUGUUGAGGAAAUCGAGGAUGAGGAGGUUGUUAAAGCUGAACAUGAAAAUGUUGAAGAGAACCCAGACACCUCACAGUGUCUAGAGCGAAUAACUCGUAGAGCUCACCGCUCAGAGGGAGGAGGCUCUGUCGUGGGAAUUCCGCCUGCCACGGGAGUCACAAAGAAUUUUGGAGCUGGAUUGAACCCCAGAGAGAAAGAUCUUUUGGAUUUUGUGGACGAGAACCGUGAGAAUUUACAGGACUUUUCGGAUGAAGAAAGAGAACCGCUGGGCAGCCAAGAGUUUCCUCGCCUCCAUCCUCCAGCAGAGCUCAGCUCACCAGAGCAGAGGUCACGGCAACAUGAGGCUAGUCUGGCUGAGGGAGAUGUGCCAGAGCUUGAAGAAGAUGAUGACGCCCCAGAAGAACUUAACCAAUCAGAGGAGGAGGAGCUGAUAGACUCUGGGUCAGCCAGUCAGAGCCCUGAACUUCCACAAGAAGAGGAAGAGAACGAUGAUGACGACGCUCUUAGUGCAGAACUGUCCAUCAAAACUCCUGCGUUUGUAAGACAGAAGAGAGAUUUCACAGGUUCUGUUGCGCAGGCUAUGCCAACAGUCUUUAAAGUGAAUGCUGGCUUUUUUCCCUUCACUAAUGACCGAAGCAGACGUGUGUGUGAGGUUUACAAGGCCAAGUCUGUUGUUGAGAUUUGCAGCUCCAGACAGAUGCUGGAUUCCCGUUUCUUUAGAAAACUCUUUCUAUAUCUCUUGCCUUUAUUUAGUGUCAGACUGAAUUUAAAUCCAGAUCUUUUGAUUCCAGAUCCGGCUCAUGUUUCACACCGUUUUCAGUGUGUUGUCACUAUAGAUCGAGAUCCAGAUGUUUGGUCCCUGGGGCCCUCUGGGGCCCCAACCUCCUCCUCCUCUUCUUCUUUACCUCCUCCUGCAAGCAGUGACCCUUCCACAUUCUCCACAGUAUGAGUCAGCAGUGCAGCGGCUCUAGCAACUCCAUCUAUCAUAAGUUGGACCCAGUGGACCCGAAACCAAUUUCAUCAUCACUGCGGGACUGAGUCACACUGCUACUCAGCAAAGAGAGUGAGAGAAGAUCUGCUCGGCCAAAAAUACUUGAAUACUACACACCAGAUGGGAAUAAAGUGAAAACUAAAUAGGAAAACAGAACGAAGGACAAAGAUGUAGAAGGUUCAAGAAAACUCACUUUCUGGUCUGACCUUUUCUGGUCUGGUCUUGUCAGACCUUUGCACACAGGCAAGCCCACUCAUGUUUUCUUCAGAAUAUGCAAUCUAGUUAGUUAGUCAUAUUACCGCAGGCAAUAUUAGCUAAUGCAAUCUAUCAUUUUAAUAUGGUUUUAAUCACGGUUUUUUCUAGGUUUCUGAUGAAUGGACCAUGACAUUUAAAAUCCCAAGUCUCAAAAACCACAAAGACUAGUUAUUUCCAGAGAAGGUGAGGGUUAGAACUAUGUUUCCCUGAGCACAAUGUGAC
Molecule: long non-coding RNA, 2597 nt
Organism: Cyprinus carpio carpio
Lineage: Eukaryota; Metazoa; Chordata; Actinopteri; Cypriniformes; Cyprinidae
Source: Ensembl